CCUACGGGAGUCAGCAGUGGGGAAUAUUGCACAAUGGGGGAAACCCUGAUGCAGCGACGCCGCGUGAGUGAAGAAGUAUUUCGGUACGUAACGCUCUAUCAGCAGGGAAGAAAAUGACGGUACCUGACUAAGAAGCCCCGUCUAACGACGUGCCAGCAGCCGCGGUAAUACGUAGGGGGCACGCGUUAUCCGGAUUUACUGGGUGUAAAGGGAGCGUAGACGGCAGCGCAAGUCUGGAGUGAAAUCCCAUGGCUUAACCAUGGAACUGCUUUGGAAACUGUGCAGCUAGAGUGCAGGAGAGGUAAGCGGAAUGCCUAGUGUAGCGGUGAAAUGCGUAGAUAGUAGGAGGAACACCAGUGGCGAAGGCGGCUUACUGGACUGUAACUGACGUUGAGGCUCGAAAGCGUGGGGAGCAAACAGGAUUAGAUACCCUAGUAGUC
Molecule: ribosomal RNA, 440 nt
Filed under: uncultured bacterium
Lineage: Bacteria
Description: partial 16S ribosomal RNA
Rfam family: Bacterial small subunit ribosomal RNA
Source: RNAcentral